UAUAGUGAGUUUUUUGUGCUCUCUCUCUCUCUCUCUCUAUAUAUAUAUAUUGAUGUGCCUGUUUGGGUAAUGACCAAUAUAAUGAUGAUACAUAACAUUUAUUACAUCAUUAUGAUGCGUCGUUUGAUUAAGCAUUGGCAAGAGGGGUUGUGUGGUUUGAAAUAUUGACAUAGUUUGACUCUUCAUUGAUAUUUGCUGUAUCUCGGUUUAAUGUAAUGAAAUCUAAUUAACUUCUUAUUGGCGUACUUGAAUAUGUGAUACACACACUAUACGUUAAAUUGAUUAUUUUUUACAUGAGUUUCAAAAGGUUGAUAUUUUUAACAUGUAAGUUGGGUUCUAGAAGUGGCUUUAUUUGGUGCUAUCAAUUUUUUGCCUCAGUACUUUUUUCUAAAAAAUAAUUAAAGUGGAAUUUCUCUUCUCCAGGGAGAUUUUUUCAAGGUCUUUAGUGGUCAAGGUAUUCUGGUCAUCAGUAUUUUUUCUUUAUUGAGUUAGAGUUCAGUUUUCUCUUAAUUAUGUGAAACAUAUUAUGGAACAUAAUAACGUAGAAUCACAUGCACCUCCGGAGAAAUUCAGAUUACACCCUUAGCAUUGUAAAGCUUCUUUGUAUAUUGAAUGAACCUUAAUUGGCUUUGAAGAAAUUGUUGUGUUGGAAACUAAAGAUUCCAGAACAGUAAACAUAAAACCCAAUAGACAGACACUUCAAAAGAGUUUUGUUGGUUCUUUAACUCUCAAAGAUACUGUGUUGCAUUUUGUCAUUUAUGGGGACACUUUAAAUUUAGGUGUGUUCAUAGUUAUAGGUGCUUGCCUCACUGCCUGAGGCAUUGAAGCAAGGUGCUGAAGAAGUGCUGACUCUCACAUCAUGAGAUAUGUUGGCUUCAAUUGUGACACUUAUAUUAGCAUCAGCAAAGGCAAGCACCUGAGGUAUCUUGAUAUAUAGUUGAAUGGCUGAAAUAAGAAAUAAGAUUAAAUUAGAAAGUAUUGCUUUGAAAGUAUGAUGGGUAUUUAAAUGUGGUGGGAAACCCUCUCCAAAAAAUGCUAGCUAUAGUAAUGGGAGAAUUAACUCAUGUAAAUGCCUCGUUAAACAUCUCAUACUAGUAAAAGUGGGACAUAGUCAUCCAUACUAUCCGAGUCUCUGUCAGAAUAAGGUUUAUAUAAUUUUCAUUCUCACUCAAAAAAAUAGUGAUGCAACUAGUUUUUUGGGGUUUUGUUAACAGACAAGCAAAACAAAGCUUUUAUUUCUUUUUCUUUUUUUAGAACUAAGAAAAAAUCACAGGAGAACUCUACAACGAUCCUAGUUGAUGAAUCAAAGUCUCUAUUCCUCUUGGCAAUUUUUUUUUAUCAAUCUUUAAAUGCCAAGGAACCUAACUGCCUUUAACAAGCCAAUCCACACGAGCUUUCCCCUCCCGCAUGGUAUGGCAAGCUCUGAGUACUUUGCAAAAGAUAGCAUUGGAUGUGUUUCCAGCAUGAUAAGAAACAACAAGCAGCGGGGUCGACUGCAUGAUCGCACAGUACCAUUUGUGCUCUAGCUAUCAACAAACAACUCUCUGAAAAUAUUGCCAGCAAAAAAUUGUGCUCUAUCAAGCAUGAUAACAAAGGGCAGGGAAAAUGUGUGAGCUUCAAGCAUUGCUAUCUGUCCCAUUUCAGUAGUUCAUUUGGGUUGGGGCCGAAAGAAACAGUUGAAUAAUGCAAAUGUUGCUGGCUAUUGGCUUCUGCAUUAUAGAGUGGGGAAAUCCUUUGAAUGAAAGAUGAUGAUGGAUUCAUAUGAAGUUAAUCAACAAAUGACAAUGGAUUACAGGUAGGUUAGUUUUAAGAUUCAUUAUAGGAGGCAAGGUUCUUUCUCCUUAAAUGACAACUGUAUCGUUAGGUUUAAGAUUAGUACCCUUACUGUUGUUCAUUUGACCAAGAACGAUUACAAAUUGCUUGUUAUUUUGGCUAGGGUUUUAGUAUAUUACAUGGGUAUUUAGGUUUCAAAGUGAUUUAGAAUUCAUGUUAAGCUUGUGGCUCAAAAAGUAUUUACAGAUGUAUUUAUAGAUUACUUACCAACUAGUAGGUAGGAUUGAUGAGUUGCAAGAUGUCUCAUCGAAUUAUAUUGUUAAUAGGCCGUGAAUAUUACGAUUCUAUAGAUUUGAUUAGGUCUUCACGGCAAGACCGGAAUCCUUGUUUCA
Molecule: long non-coding RNA, 2165 nt
Organism: Prosopis cineraria
Lineage: Eukaryota; Viridiplantae; Streptophyta; Magnoliopsida; Fabales; Fabaceae
Exons: 2
Source: RefSeq, a predicted model, not a curated record